GACGAACGCUGGCGGCGUGCCUAAUACAUGCAAGUCGAACGCUCAGUUUAUACCGUUGCUUGCUACACCAUAGACUGUGAGUUGCGAACGGGUGAUUAACGCGUAGGUAACCUGCCUGGUAGCGGGUGAUAACUACUGGAAACGAUAGCUAAUACCGCAUAAUAUUAAUUAUUGCAUGAUAAUUAAUUGAAAGCUGCAAUUGCACCACUACCAGAUGGACCUGCGUUGUAUUAGCUAGUAGGUGGGGUAACGGCUCACCUAGGCGACGGUACAUAGCCGGCCUGAGAGGGUGAACGGCCACACUGGGACUGGAGCACGGGCCAAGAUUCUACGGGAGGGAGCAGUAGGGAAUCUUCGGAAAUGGACGAAAGUCUGAACGCACAACGGCGCGGGAGUGAAGGAGGGUUUCGGGUCGUAAAGGUCUGUUGUAAGGGAAGAACGGGUGUGAGAGUGGAAAGUUCACACUGUGACGGUAUCUUAACAGAAAGGGACGGCUAACUACGUG
This 505-nucleotide ribosomal RNA is filed under the name uncultured bacterium. Its description in RNAcentral is "partial 16S ribosomal RNA". It matches the Rfam family "Bacterial small subunit ribosomal RNA", at positions 28 to 507 of the family's 1533-position model. The record is from RNAcentral.